AAAAAUCAAAACUAAUUACAUACCCGGUCACAUCAUCAAUACGAUAGAUGGAGUUGCAGUAAAAGAGCGGGUAUCAUUGUUUCCAGCCAGAGCUGCUUUCUCUAUUCAGCACUUAGUACACCAUAAACUCAAGACAGGUCCACUGCAUUUUACUGGAAUUCCUGAUUUUACAGAAGAGGGAACCUUGGUUUUUUUCUCCAGUUUUCCUGUAAGCUAUCCGACCGGAGGCACGACGAUCCCGAGACGUGCGGCGUAAGUUAUCCGGCCCUCGGCACGGCCAUAAGCAGAGCUGAAUGUCAGAAGAGUCUCAUCUUGUGAAGCAUGGG
This is a long non-coding RNA of Grus americana (Whooping crane), 326 nucleotides long. RefSeq lists it as uncharacterized. NCBI's taxonomy places the organism in Eukaryota, Metazoa, Chordata, Aves, Gruiformes, Gruidae. The transcript has 3 exons. The record is from RefSeq and is a predicted model, not a curated record.